AUUUGACAUUUCUCUCCCCUACUUCUGUGUACGAGAUUCGAUGCGGACUCGCUUGAGGGGUCCAUGCUCGCAAAAAAUGAUUUGUUCUGGAAAUGUGAGAGCUGGAUAUCUUGUUAAUAUGAUGUCUUUGGUCUGUCUUAAGUGAGGUGACGCCAACCAGAAGGAAAAAGAAGAAGAAGAGCAAAAAUCUCGCUGUGUGGCUAAGUUGAGUCGCCAAAGUACGGAUAAAAAUUCUUCCUUUCUCGCGAAAUACUCGAAUUUUCACCACACUAACACGAUACAACGUGCUCACCCGUUGAGAGAUUCACCGGAAGUGUAAACAUGGUCACAGCAGAAGGCAGAUAAAUACAGUUGAUUUUCGGACGACCAGAAGCCAACGGACCAAGAUCGAGUCUCGUAUUCUAGUUCACUGGGUACUACUACAACUACGAAAUACUGAACAAGUGCCUGCUGCUCACUAUUCUGCUUUCCACUUUGAUGACUAUGAGACCCUUGUAGCUCUAUAUAAACAGCAUCUUUGUCGUAAACAAUUCCUCCAACGCCGGACAUGGGAGCAUAAAGCAAUCGUUCCUUCUCCAGCAAGUUUCGCUUUUUCUCUUUCGAUGGAAAAGGACACGGAUCUGGGGAACCCCUCGAACAUAACCGUACAGCACUACGUCUCGAUCGCACUUCGGGUUGAGUCGAAUCUCUUCCGAGCUUGUGAUGUCUUCCAUUCUAUCAGCCAAAAUAUAGCUGUGUGCUCCUCGCCACAUACUCCCCGUGGAUCAAACCAGAGAGAUAGAAUAGUUUUGCUCCAUCAUACACUUCUGUCCAGAAACGAUGUUUCAGUGUUUUUUUCUGCAUUUUGACGGCUUUAGCAGUUUUAAUCGUGUCCAAGUGGG
Long non-coding RNA from Malaya genurostris, 881 nucleotides. RefSeq lists it as uncharacterized. The transcript has 4 exons. NCBI's taxonomy places the organism in Eukaryota, Metazoa, Arthropoda, Insecta, Diptera, Culicidae. The record is from RefSeq and is a predicted model, not a curated record.